UCACCUGAAUUUGACUGUCCCCACAGAAACAACAGAAGAAACAAGUGGAACAUCAGCUGGAAGAAGUAAUGUGAUUUCUUUGUUUGCUCACAACAUGACUGCUGGGUUUGGGGGGCACUCAGAUGUAGAGGCACCAGUCUAGUCUCGCCCACUCCUAGCCUGGGGAAGAAGGCACAUCCCUCAGAUUCCACCACAUCUCCACAGGGUCCCUGAUAACCUGGUCCCAUGGGUGGCCCUGUGCUGGGGCAUUGGUGGCAUUCUGGCGGCAUAUCUCUUGCUGUGCCAUCUCUGCCUCCCCAUGGUAAGAGCUCUGUCUUCCUCUUCCUAUAGGAAAAGAAAGCAAACAAUGAAAUACACAAAGCACAAAUGGAGCAGUUAGAGACAAUCAACAUCCUCACGCUGGAAAAGGCAGACUUGAAGACCACCCUUUACCAUACUAAACGUGCCGCCAGACACUUCGAAGGUGGGAAUCUGGGCACCCCGUCAUCCUUCAAUCUGGCACUUUGACAGGUCUUUAGGGGGAGUCCUUUUGGGCCCCCAUCUCAGCCUCUGUCGUUGCAGAAGAGUCAAAAGGAUCUGGCUGGCCACCUGUAAUCCUCCUUACAGUGUAUUCAAGAAUUGGAGCAGG
RNAcentral lists this long non-coding RNA (628 nucleotides) under Papio anubis (olive baboon). Its description in RNAcentral is "lncRNA (ENSPANG00000047412.1)". The record is from RNAcentral. Lineage: Eukaryota; Metazoa; Chordata; Mammalia; Primates; Cercopithecidae.